CACGUAGGGCGCAAGCGUUGUCCGGAAUUAUUGGGCGUAAAGAGCUCGUAGGCGGUCUGUUGCGUCCGCUGUGAAAACUCGGGGCUUAACCCCGAGCCUGCAGUGGAUACGGGCAGACUAGAGGUAGGUAGGGGAGAAUGGAAUUCCCGGUGUAGCGGUGAAAUGCGCAGAUAUCGGGAGGAACACCGGUGGCGAAGGCGGUUCUCUGGGCCUUACCUGACGCCGAGGAGCGAAAGCGUGGGGAGCGAACAGG
RNAcentral lists this ribosomal RNA (253 nucleotides) under uncultured bacterium. Its description in RNAcentral is "partial 16S ribosomal RNA". It matches the Rfam family "Bacterial small subunit ribosomal RNA", at positions 524 to 776 of the family's 1533-position model. The record is from RNAcentral.